RNAcentral lists this ribosomal RNA (422 nucleotides) under uncultured bacterium. RNAcentral's name for it is "bacterial SSU rRNA". It matches the Rfam family "Bacterial small subunit ribosomal RNA", at positions 355 to 769 of the family's 1533-position model. The record is from RNAcentral.
UGGGGAAUAUUGGACAAUGGGCGAAAGCCUGAUCCAGCCAUGCCGCGUGUGUGAAGAAGGUCUUCGGAUUGUAAAGCACUUUAAGUUGGGAGGAAGGGCUGCAAGUUAAUACCUUGUAGUUUUGACGUUACCAACAGAAUAAGCACCGGCUAACUUCGUGCCAGCAGCCGCGGUAAUACGAAGGGUGCAAGCGUUAAUCGGAAUUACUGGGCGUAAAGCGCGCGUAGGUGGUUUGGUAAGAUGGAUGUGAAAUCCCCGGGCUCAACCUGGGAACUGCAUCCAUAACUGCCUGAAUAGAGUACGGUAGAGNGUGGUGGAAUUUCCUGUGUAGCGGUGAAAUGCGUAGAUAUAGGAAGGAACACCAGUGGCGAAGGCGACCACCUGGACUGAUACUGACACUGAGGUGCGAAAGCGUGGGGAGC